This 452-nucleotide ribosomal RNA is filed under the name uncultured bacterium. Its description in RNAcentral is "bacterial SSU rRNA". It matches the Rfam family "Bacterial small subunit ribosomal RNA", at positions 335 to 799 of the family's 1533-position model. The record is from RNAcentral.
ACUCCUACGGGAGGGCAGCAGUGGGGGAAGUCUUAGACAAUGGGCGCAAGCCUGAUCUAGCCAUGCCGCGUGAGUGAUGAAGGCCUUAGGGUCGUAAAGCUCUUUCGCCAGGGAUGAUAAUGACAGUACCUGGUAAAGAAACCCCGGCUAACUCCGUGCCAGCAGCCGCGGUAAUACGGAGGGGGUUAGCGUUGUUCGGAAUUACUGGGGCGUAAAGCGCGCGUAGGCGGAUUAGUCAGUUAGAGGUGAAAUCCCAGGGCUCAACCCUGGAACUGCCUUUAAUACUGCUAGUCUUGAGUUCGAGAGAGGUGAGUGGAAUUCCGAGUGUAGAGGUGAAAUUCGUAGAUAUUCGGAGGAACACCAGUGGCGAAGGCGGCUCACUGGCUCGAUACUGACGCUGAGGUGCGAAAGUGUGGGGAGCAAACAGGAUUAGAUACCCUGGUAGCGACUGA